This is an unclassified non-coding RNA of Pongo abelii (Sumatran orangutan), 149 nucleotides long. It matches the Rfam family "Metazoan signal recognition particle RNA". From Rfam's summary of the family: The signal recognition particle (SRP) is a universally conserved ribonucleoprotein. The record is from Ensembl. NCBI's taxonomy places the organism in Eukaryota, Metazoa, Chordata, Mammalia, Primates, Hominidae.
GCCCAGGCAUGGUGGCGGGUGCCUGUAAUCCCAACUACUCGGGAGGCUGAGGUGGGAGGACUGCUUGAGCCCGGGAGUUCAAGGCUGCAGUGAACCAUGAUCAGACCACUGCACUCCUGCCUGGGCAACAGAGCAAGACCCUGUCUCCA